RNAcentral lists this long non-coding RNA (31948 nucleotides) under Cucumis sativus (cucumber). RNAcentral's name for it is "long non-coding RNA (CSAT_LNC000873)". Lineage: Eukaryota; Viridiplantae; Streptophyta; Magnoliopsida; Cucurbitales; Cucurbitaceae. The record is from RNAcentral.
UUUUUUUUUUUUUUUUUGUUGGAAGUUGGAGGAAGAUCUGAAUCACAUCUUUUAGAGCUGUGAGUUUGCAGAUUCUAUCUUGAAUUUGUUCUUUGAAAGUUUUGGUUUUGUGCUUGCCCGUCAAAAGGACAUUAGUGUUAUAUUCAGGAAGUUCCUCUUCCAUCCACCACUUCUAUUCAGGAAGUUUCUUGUGGUUGGAAGGUUUUGCGCUAUUAUCUUCUUCUUCUUUUAAAUAUGAAAGUGUAUGCUAUCAUGUGGAAUUGUGUAGGAGAAAGGAACAAAGUGUUUAUAGGGUUGGAAAAGGAGCCCAAUGAUGUUGGGGUUCUUAUUAGGUUUCAUGUUUCUCUUUGGGAUUUGACUUCAUCUUUUUCCUUAGUGAAAUUCAUUUCUUUUUGAAGAAUGUUUUGUUCUUAAGUGUUAAUAAGUUAGUUAAGUAAAAAAAUUUAUAUUCACAAGUUCUGAUAAUUUAUUAAGUUUUGAUGUUAUGUUCCUAUUUUUAUAAGUUGAGUGGUUUGUUUUAAUUUGAUGAGUUAGUAUUCAUUUUCAUGAUAAGUUUGUUUAGGUGUUUUUUCUAUAUACGUUAGUGUAUGGGCCAACUUACACAUACUAUGACUAAUCUCACGAGACAACCAGCCUGACCUACAACAUUUGGGUGUCAUGGAAACCUUUAUAUUAAAUUCUAGGUAGGUGACCACCAUUGAUUGAAUCCAUGACCUCUUGGCCCUUUGGCCUUUUUUUUAUAUUCCCAUUACCACUAGGCCAACCCUCGAGGUUUUGUUAUGUUCAUGUUUCUUUUAGUUUUGUUUGUUUAAAUUUUACAAGUUUACCAUUUUUACGAUAAGCUCGUUUAGUUCUAUUGUUUAUUUUAAUUUGACGAGUAAGUAUCUAUUUUCAUGAUAAGUUUCUAAAUUUGUUAAGGUUUAUUGUUAAUGUUUUGAUAAGUUUGGUUUGAAUUUGAUAAGUUUAGUAGUGUUUAUAAGUUUCGAUAAGUUCGUUAAGUUUUGUUGUCGUGUUCAUAAAUUUUGAUAAGUUCGUAGUUUACUUCGAUUUAAUACCAUCAAUGAAAUUAUGUUGUGUUUUUCAUAAAAAAAAAUAGUUUUUUUCAAUUCCCAAUUCUACUUCUUUCAUUAUUUCAUUUCUUCAUCUACGUCAGAUUCUAUGCACGUAUGAUUUUGACUUGAGAACAAAUUGUACCACGUUUUAUGAAACUAUGAAAAACUAGGUGGAUUUUAUUUUAUUUUUUGGCUGCACUGACAAAAUGUUGCGCUCGACAAACCCAAUCAAUCAUGUUAUAGGUAAAUAAACGAUUAAGUUAUACUUGGUGAAACUCUUGUUUCUUCAUAACUUUGGCAAAUUCCAUUCAGAUUCUAGACUUUGCUUUUUCUUGGCUUUUCAAAUACUGAGAUCAUUGAAUCUUUUGCUGGUAAUUUGAACAUAAUUUUUAUUUAUUUAUUUACUUUCAUGCCUUAUGGAACAAUUCUUUUAAUGUCUACUACAGGAAGUAUUGGUGAAUGUAGUUUCAUAUGAAGCUGAGCCUAAAAGAGCAAACUCAGGACGAUGUCUCUUAGAAAACCGCCCCCUCCUCGGCUUCUUCUCGACCAGGUCUCCUGUAUGCGAAAUGCCCAGCAAAUCCUUAGAAAUGUUAACGUCUCGAUCCAUGAUGGCAGUGCACUCGUGCUGUCAGGGAGCAAUGGUUCAGGCAAAACAACAUUCUUACGAAUGUUAGCCGGAUUCUCCCGACCUUCUGCCGGUAGGAUCCUAUGGAAUGGGCAUGACAUUACAGAAUCUGGAGUAUUCCACCAAUACAAACUUCAGCUGAAUUGGCUCUCACUUAAAGAUGCCAUUAAAGAGAACUUUACCAUCAUUGACAACGUUCAGUGGUUCGAGCUGCUUGAGGGGAAGCAUGGCAAAUCAAUGCCUGCCAUCGAGCUGAUGGGGCUUGGAAGAUUGGCAAAGGAGAAGGCGAAAAUGUUAUCGAUGGGGCAACGUAAGCGCCUGCAACUUGCAAGAUUGUUGGCGAUCGAUAGACCAAUUUGGCUGCUUGAUGAGCCUUCAGUUGCAUUAGAUGAUGAUGGGGUCAAGUUGCUGGAAUACAUCAUUGCUGAACAUAGAAGGAAAGGUGGGAUUGUCAUUGUAGCAACACAUAUUCCAAUAGAUAUUGAAGAUUCCAUGAUCUUGAGGCUUCCGCCACGUUUCCCUCGGAGAAUAACCUUGGUCGAUAUGCUCGAUCGGUGUGACAUAUCGUAACUUUACCAACUCAAGCAUAGUUCAAAUCAAGCAAUGGUAACAUUCUUUCUCAUUCUUUAUCAUUUGUUGGUUUCCAUCAUUAGAAUUGUUUUUAAAAAUAGCUCAGCUUAAAGCUAAAAAUAAUACUUCAUGUUUUAUGUUACAAAAGAUAAGACUUUAAAGUCAAAUACCAUUUCGGUUCCUUUACUUCAGAGAUUGUUCUAUUUUUAAUACGUGUUCUUGUGCUUCCAUUAAAAGAAAUUUGAUUCAAGUUGAUACUUUUUUUAAUCACUAAUUGUGAUUUUACUAUUAUUUAUCAUAUGAAUACAAAUUUCCUAAUGAUCUAUUCUACUGAUGUGCUUUUUUCCCCCAUGUAAAUGAAUCAACAAAUUCCAUUGGGUUUUUGAAAAUAUAUAAUACACCAAAAAACAAAUGACAAAAAUAUAACGUAAUUGGAAAUAGAAUUGGCAGAAGAAAAUUUCACUCAAAACAAAUUUAAUUAAUCAUUUGAAAAUAUCUCAAACGUAUACUAUGCAUCAAGGACCGAAAUGAUAUUUUAACUCAAUACUUAUCACUUCUUAAACAUUUCUAUUCUUUCUCCACUAGACCUUCAAGAUUUUACCAAUCAACUUUCUUUGGAAGUAGAGACAAAUUUUGAUGUUCAUCAAAUUGGUAACUACCUAUUUCUUUUUGCAUUCGAAACUGAUACUGAUACCACCUGAAUCUUGAAGCAAAGUCAGCAGUUUUUCAACAAAUUUCUCGUGGUUUUACGAAAGCCAAUGUCAUCCAAAAAACUCUUUCACCCACUAGUUUAAGCUUUUGGAUCAAUUGAUAGUUUAAGAAAGAUGUUGAUUGUGGAAAUUGUCAUUGAUAUUAAGAAACUGAUACUUCGAGUUAUCAGACUCAACGUCAACAUAGAUGGUUUGAAAUGGGUGUGUUAGAUGGUUUGAAAUGGGUGUGUUUGAUACCGAUGAAGUCUGAACGGUUGUCAAAGUUCUGUUGGCAUUGUGGAAUCAUUGGGCAUAAUCUCGAGGAAUGUAGUGGAAAAGUGAACGAUGAAGAAGUUGGGAAAACUUUUUAUAGGAAAAAGGGUUGAGUUUUAUUGAUUAUUGCAAUAAAUUUUCAUUUGAUACAAAUCAUGAAGGCUUCAAAGAUGAUUUAGUAAACGAAGGCAAUGAGAGGAUGAAAUAAGACUAAUGAAGAUUCUAUUUUGAAUAAAGGGAAUAUGCUGACUCAUUUUCUAAGUUUGUGAAGUUACAAUUUCUUGUUCGUGUUGGAAUGUUCGAGGAUAGGGGAUUUUUUUAUAUUUUGUCUUAUGAUGUAGGUGUACACGAUGAUUUCACUCGUGUUAAAUUUUUGGUUUUGUUGUUUUUAUUUUGUUUGAAAUAACGUGUAACAUUGUUACUUUGAGUAGAUUUAGGACUCAUUUGAAUAGUUGUUAUGGGUUUUCUUUUUAAUUGAAUUGGUUUGAGUGAUGGACUCUUUUGUUGUGGAAAGAGGAGAUGAAUGUUUGAAUUUGAUGAUCAUAACUAUAAAUUUGUAGGAGGAUUUUUGUUCAAAUGAUCUAAAGAUUUUUAGAAAAAUGAAAUUUAAAAUCUCAAAGUCAAGGUUUGAUCGGUUUGGACAAUAAAUUUGUUAAGUUUUACCAAUUUAGACUAUCACUUCCAAUUUCAUCUAAUUGAAUCCUAAAUUUAAGCUUCAAUUUUUACUAAUUGGCCUAUUGUUUUUUCAAGAAAAAAAGUGUAGAGAUCUUCAUAAACUCGAGCUAAAAUAAUAGUUUGAUCACUGUACAAGUUUUUUUAUUCAACAACUUUUCCAAAAUCCAUAAAUUUCAACAAAUAAAAGUAAAAUUACAACAUCUCAAACAAUUUGAUAAAAUUGAAAGUUGUAUAAAAAUUGGUAUUGGGUCAAAAUGGAAUUUUCAUAUAAUAUUUCAUAUCAAAACAAAUACUCAGCAAAGAAUGAUGGAUUUUCAAUAUCAAAUUGAUGUAAAAAUAAUAAUAAAGGAAAAGAAAUAAGAGAAGAAAAAAAAGGUAAAAAUACUGAUGGGUUUAGUUGAAGGAUUUGAAUUGACUUUCACCCAAAUGGGGGUUUAGCUUAGACAGCCUAAGCCACUCUAAACCCAACCACACCAAAGGAUAUCAAUUUAAACCAAGAUUACACCAAAUUUUCAGCCAUGAUUGUCAAGCUUAAAUAUACAAAACUAUUCAUACUUUUACAUUCAAGUUCCUUAAAGCUAACUAUAUACUCUCUGUUUUGGAUAAUAACAAAUCUACAGCAUCCCAACUCUCUUUAAUAAUAUGUAAGCCUUUUGUUUAUUGACCAAACCUCAUUACCAAAAGAAAGAUUUUGAGAUUUGGCAAUGCUCUUGCAAAAAAUAUGGAACUGGGUUCCUGGAGCCAACAUGAAAAAUGAGAGCACGGAUCGUGCAUGACGCAUGCACGAGUGUCCAGGCAGAUAAACUCUGUCUCAUUCUCUUUUUGUCUCACUUGAAUUAUCCAUUAUCAUCCGGUUAUGUACUUGAUCUCUGCAUGCUCUCUCAACCAUUCUAGCACUUUAGCUCCUUCUAGUAUGUCUUGUACCUAAAUGAUUAUGUGUAUGAGGUGAAAUGGGGUUUUUUACAUUAGCUUGUAAUAUGCUAAUAGUUGUGACAUAUCAUUUUCAAGUUAGAAUGAGCAAGGCAUAUGGUUUGACUAAUGACCAGUCAGGAAAAGCAUAACGAAAUCGAGAAGUUUCUAUUUGUCUUACUGACCUGUUCCUGCACCCGGUCUUCGUCAUAUUCUUGUUUACUACGUUUAAAUUCCGCAACAGAGUUUUCCACCUCUUUCAUGAGUUCCUCUGUGUCCACCUGCAGAGCAAGCAAAGAUCGGUGUAAUAUUAGAUAAAGCAUAUUAUUUUUUAUGUGCAGCAGGUUUAGGUUUGGGAAGCUACUUUAGGAAGUUAAUGAUUUUGAUGGUUUAUGAUAUUAUUGUCUUGUAUAAUAGUGUUUGGUAACCAUUUGAUUUUAUUUUUAAAAAAAUUAACCCUAAGUACAUCUCUAUGAGCUCUAAAUUUCUUGGUGUGUUAUCUACUUUACAUCAAUGUUUACAAAAAUUACCUCAAAUUAUGUAAACCGAGAAAAAAAAGGCUUUUAGAAACUUGUUUUUGUCUUUGGAAUUUGGUUAAGAAUCCAACUCUUAUACUUUUUAAGUUGCAAACUGCUGUAAGAAAAUUGAAGGAAAUAGACUUAAUUUUCAAAAAACCAAAAACAAAAAAUGUACACAAAAUAUUCUCGUCCAACCACAAGAAUGCCCACACGCCACGACUAACCAUGAAUGCAAGUUACAUAUCUUUGAGAAAUGGGACUUAGCUAAUUAAGGGUAUUAAUUUUAUUCAAUUUCAUAAUUAUAUUAUAUUUAAUGGAAUAAAAACUUAAGGUUAAAUAGUAAAAAUUGAACUUAUCCUAAAAUACAAUUGAAAACAAACUAAGAUACUAUCACCUGCAAAUUUUCACGUUUAAAUAUAUCUCCCACUGCAAGAUUCUGUUUGAUAACAUGCGUAAUGUUGUCCCUCUGAUUUUCAAGGUACUCCUUCACAGCCUUAGGACUAGAUAGAGUAGCCAACUGCUGUUCAUUUAAUUUCAUGUUUGCCUGUGCCACAACAAAAGAUAUGAGAAUUGUUACACUGCACUCACUAACAAUAGAGAUCUUUAGAUUUAGGCAUUCUCCAUUUUAAGUUCUCACCUGUAUCUGCAGUAGUUUGGCUCCAUAUAGCUGCCUACCUUGCUCCUCAAAUAUGGAAUGAGGAAUAUCAACUUCCACCAUCUGAAAAGGUUUGUUCCAACUUAUUGUUAAUUUUCCCAAGCCAGAUUCCCCACUGUUAACUCUUAGCAUAGAAAGUGCAUAAAACAAUUUAACUCAACUCUAGUCUCUAACAAUUAUAACUAGUUGAGGCAACGUCGAGCGUGCAGUUUCAUCAACCAAUAAGAUCCUUGUUUUCAGAGACUAGGGUUUUUGGAAUUUUGUCCAGCACAACACAACUAAUAACUUCAUUUUUUUUUUUUGAAAAAAAAGAUUUUUUAUAUAACUGAGCUUUUUUCCAUACAAACAAAAUCAUGGUCUCGAAUCCAAAUCCCUUGAAAAAAUUAUAAAAUUUUGGGUCUUGUGAUAAAAAUAAAUGUUAUCGUCGAGUCUUCCAUGUUAGAAUGAUACUUGAAGCAAAAUUACCUUUUAAAGAACUUGUUUAAUAAGGAAAUCAAGUUCUUGUGAUCAUAGUCAAAACAAUGUCUAUACACACACAUAUACUGCAUUGUCCAAACACACUACCCAAAGGUCAAAAUAGGCAUAUAAAUCUUCGAAAACCUAUUUCAGAUAGUAAAAUACCUUGCAAAGUUGGUCAAGAAUUGCAUUGUCCGUUGCCUGAUCUUUAGCUGUUUGCUCUACUUCAAGGCAUCUUUGCAGCAAUGCUUCCUUGACCUGUCGGUUUGAAGCAAAAGAUACAAAUAUAAAACCCUUUCAGAAAAAAGCUAUUUCAUAUAGCAAAAUGCUUUCUGUAUUGCAAAUACGAGGUAGAUUGGAGAUAUGAGAGUAUUAGGUUACCUGUUCUAGGGUUGUAGAGCCGGGGAGAAGCUUAUCAGCUAGUGAGUCAUCCAACUGAGGUAAUUCUCUGUAGAAUAGUUCCUUGCACUCGACCUAAAAUCAAGAAAAAUAGAGAUGAAAAAGGAAGAUAUUGAACCAUGAUAUUCCUUGCAUAAAAUAUAACAAGAGCCAAAGUAAAAGUCAGAAUGAUAAAAUAUGACAUUUCUUUUCUAUUUGCUCCGGCAUCAUUUAUGAUCUCCUCAUUAGUUGAACAAAUGAAUAGGAAACUUACUGUGAAUUGAGCAUGAACACCGCGGAGAUCUUCUUGAUUCCAUGAUUCAGGAAAUACAAGGGGAAAUGACUUAGUUUCACCUCGUUGAAUGCCAAUUAAUGAAUCAAGAAACCCAGGAAGGAGUUUAUCGCCGUCUUCCGUAUCAAAACGAUAACCUAUAAAUGGUAAUAAGGAAAAGAGAGGAAUUUUCAUGACUUGAUCAUUGCGCUUUCCAGUAUUCAUGAUUGGUAGCUUAAUCUAACCUUUGCUCUCUGCAGAUGGAAUCUUUUGACCACCAGAUUCAUCUUGGCCAAUUGUUAUUGCUGAUAUAUCAAUUACAGCAACAUCACCCAUCUGCACACAUUUGUCAAAUUGUCAAGAUGUUCGCACAUUUAAAAGACUCACCUGUAAUUUUGACUUUGCGAUGAUUUGAUAACUUGAUAAAAUUUUAAAACUCCCUGUUAUUAAUCAUCCAGCAACAGAAUCGAGAUCACCACCAAGUGAACAUCAGUGGUAAAACAUUUUCAUAUAGCCAUCAAUCCUGGUCUAUUUCUACUAUGUUUCAGAAUGACUGAAACCUACUCGACAAAUAGACAACUUAAUUUCUUACAAAUUUUCAGUAUAUGAUAGAGAAACUUUUUGGCUCCCUUAGAUUUGUACCAUUCGAUUAAAUAAUAACCUCUAUUUCCAUUUGAGAAACAAAAUAUAUAGAGAAAAAGGAACAUAAAUAGGACAGGGUCCAAAAUGGUUACAAGAGUCACCUGUAAUCCUCGAUCAGUCACAAUUCUUAAUGUACCAAGGAACUUGUGGCGGCGCUUUAAUUCUUGUUCGGAAGUUUUUUGAGCAUCUAUUUCGUUGUCUAUUUCAACCACCAGCUUCAAGUUUUUGUAUCCAUUCUCAGGAACCCAUCUGACUUCAGGUGCAACAUCAACAAUAAUGUCAUAUCUGGAUCACAAAACCACUUCAACCCAUGAAUAUAUUUAUCACAAACCAUAGAAGAGAAUAAUGAAUGGUAAAUAACCAGUGCAGUAGUGCACUAUAACCUUUAAAGUUAAAAAGAAAUGAGCAUUGAGCAAGGUGAAAAAGUCAAUCACAUAAGGUGUAACUAAAAAGCUUGAGACAGUAAUAAGAUAAAGGUAAGCUUUGUGCAAGAGCAGUUUAAUUAGCAGAAAUAUCCACCUACAUCUUAAGAGAAUAUAAAAGAUGCACAUUUGGAAAACCUGAGAGAGCCUUGAGAAGAAAAGGUCUGCUCCAAGUCAGAAAAUUUAGAGGCAAUACGAACGGAGUCUUUCAGUGCCCUUCCUGCUACCUACAAUACAUGUAUGUGGUAUAAGAUAAGCAUUUAACUUACCAAUCACCUCAAAAAAAACAAAAGAUCAGAUAUUUUAUUAUCUUUCUUUGCAUCAGAAAACUACUUUUAUUAUUUACGUAGGCGUAUGUAAUAAAACACUAGGGGGGUAUUUGGUGGCCUAUAAUAGGUUGAGUUUGUAAUGUAAUCCAAAACCCAUGUUUGGAUUGCACGUUUUGAGGCCAAUUUGUAAUAUAAAACUCAUUCCGUCAUGACAGUUUUCAAUCUAACACUCUUUCUCAUUGUUAUCAUGCUUCACGAUCUCAUUUUCAUUUCAUCUUCGAUUACUCACGCUUUCCAACACUUCUCUAAUUCACAGUAUUCCUAAACGCUUUCGGCACUUGAGUACUUCCUCCAAAAAGACUUACUUUCUAAGUAUGUCAAAAGAACUUUUGAUUAAAAAGUGCUUAUAAUUGGUCAAAAACACUUUCCACCCUUCCAAAAAUCAGCGCAAACUCACGUUUCAGAUAAUUUUUUGGUUGUAUAGGGGAGAAGCUGCUCAAAAUGGAAAAUUUUGAAGCAAAGCUACAAGCAACUAUUGAAUCAAAGUGAGCCUAGAUCAAUUACUGCAACUCUAUAUGCUUCUUCAUCGAUCAAAUAUUUUAUAUGCAAAUAAAUAAAUAAAUAAAUAAGAGAGUAAAUAAUCAUCACUUUUAACUUACUGAGGACAUGGCAUGAGGAAGGGUCCUCUUCAAAAUUGAUUCUACGGUGGCUUUCUGCAUAUGGUCCUUUCCUACGUAACUUACAAGAAUACUUUCUGGAACUUUUCCAGGACGAAAUCCUGGGAUCUGCUUAUAGAAAACCAGAUUAUACAAUUGUCAUUGUCCUUCCAAAUGUCAAGAAAAUAAUUAAAAGUCGAUAGCUAUUAGUACUAUAAGAUAACUCGGGAAUGGAUCGUCAGUUAACAUGUAGAGUGAAGAGGCACUGUAGAAAAUAAAAAUAGGAAGUGACAGUAGAGUCUCAAGCAGCACAUGCAUAAAUAUCGCAUCUCUGUUCUAAUAAUAAUAUAAUAUAUAAGAAUGACCCUAUGAUGUGUAUUUUCAGCCCACGACUUGAAAGGAAGUUCGCAUCAAUGUGCACUGGGUACUUUGUUUCUAGCUGUCAAGGGUGAUUGAAAUCCCAUUUGGAAGUAGAUAUGAACCUAGAUUAUUACUAAAAAUAGCAUCUCCUUUAGUAUGGGAUCUUUUCAGCAGAAUCUAUAAGCAAAUUCACAAAGAUAUAGGCUCAAAACUGGCAAUAUUAAUCUUGAAUGGCUCAUCGUCCAAGUAAAUAAGUCGAAUAUUUCUGUUAGCACAAAACUUGUAAGAUAAAAUCCAAAAAAGAAGAGCAAGUUUUUUUUUAAAGAAAAAACUAGACCCGUUUUGUAACCAUUUGAUUUUUAGUUUAGGAAAUUAAGCACACUUCUUCUCAAUCUCUUACAAUGAUUUGAAUCCUUUCAAAAUAAAAGAGUUAAAUUCUCCAAUUUUUUUUUAAAAAAAAACUAGUUGCAUACAAAAUCAACGGAAGUUGCAUAUAAGUUAUAGUAACUUGUUACCUUAACCUGCUUCAUGAACUCGGCCAUAACCCUUCUAUGACAAUCCUCACAAACAGCCGGUGGAACUCCUACACUCAAUCUAACCUGAACAGAGCAUUAACUGAAUAAUCAUAAAUAGAAAUGCACAAAUAAAGGUUCAAUUUCAACAAGGAAAAAAAGAAAAAGGAAAAACUCACACUGGAAUUGGGUUCUUCGGUCUCGGAAAUAUCCAAGUCGGCAGGAAGCUUAUCGAUCUUAGGGCCAAGAUCAACGGAAGAAGGCGAAGAAGGUGAAGCAGCAAAUCGGCGGGAAGUGGUGGAGAUUUGAAGAGGGUGAAGGAGGUGAAAUGGGGGAGGAAAAAAUCGAAGAUUGUUGGAGUGAAGUAAAUGGGUUUUGGAGAAAGAAGCAGAAAUUGAAGAAGGAGAAGAAAGAGAAGGGCGCCAUGGAAGGUGAUUGAGAAGAGUUGAAGAGAAACUGGAUGUGAAGAGCUCCAUUAAGGAAUUGGUUUUAGGAUAGAAGGUUGCCUCCAAGUUUCAAGGAUGAAAGAGGAUAACGAUACCGUUAAAACUAAGACUUACAAAUUGGUCUCAACUUUUGGGUUCGUUUAAAUAUUAUACCCUAAACUUUAAAUAUUUUCAUUUUAACCCUUCAUGUUCCAACCUCCCUUUGUAAACUUUUGUUGUUAAACUUAUGCACUAAACUUUUACAUCUACUCGUGUAUGUAUUUAAAGGCAAAUAUGCAUAUGUGAACCAUUUACAUGUGUUUGAAGUUAUUAUAGUUUGAUUAGAAUAGAGUGUGUUUUGAGUAUAGAUUAUUUUAAUUUGGAUUAUAAUACUAUGUGUUACAUUAUUUUAGUUUGAUAAGAAAAUAGUAAACUCUAUAACAAAUAAUUAGAAAAUGAUGAAUGUACGUCAAAUAGUAAAUAGUAAAUACGGUAGUAAAUAGGAACUGUUAGAAAGUUUUAAAAUAGUAUUUAUGUACUUAAUUGAAGACUUUAAAUAGUAUUUACGGCAACAAUAUGUGGUAAUUAUAGUCAUAAGCAAUCUUUAACCCAAAAGGUUCCUUAUUUGUCUUCUUCCUCUUUUCAAGUACACGAUUCCAAUUUUCUGUUUAUUUGUUUAUGAAUUAUUUGCUGGCCCGACUAUAGAAUAGUUUACUUUCUUGUAAGUAUACAUUAUUUCAUCGAUAAACUUAAUGGUAAAAACGUUUCGAGAGUUGUUUUAAAAAAAAAAAUUCAAACGUUAAAAUGAAAAUUUUCAAAGUUCAGAGUAACCUACUAAUAAUUAUUUGUUUUUUAAGUAAAAAAAUAACGCAAGGGAUUUAAACAUCCAACCUGAGAAAAUAAUAUACAUCAAUUAUCAACCCACGUAACCGAAGAGCUUUGAACUGAGUGGCUAUAUAUGUUAGAGUAGAAGUAUUUAUGAAGUUAACAGUGUUUAGUUACAAUGAUGCUUAUAUCUUUGGAUGAAGCAUAUAGAUUAACUUUUUAUAUCAUUACUUGAUUCAUCACUUCUUGUUUUUACCCUUUUGGAUCACACAAAAAAUUGCAAAAUUCAAGCCUAAGAUAUAACAAUAGUUGUAAUUAUACCUUCAAUUAAGAUAUAACAAUAGCUGUAAUUAUACCUUCAAUUACACCAUGUUUAUACCAGUAUAAAAAUUAGACCCUCAAACAUACAUAAAUCUAAGUAUGAGAAUCUCAUUUGGUCCAAGAAUAAGUAAAAGAUUAAAUGGGAUCUAAAAAAAUGGAAGACAAAAUGUAAACAAAAAUAAAGUAAAUCCCCAGCAACAUCUAUUUAUAUUUAGUAUAGAUUAUAAAUUGCUCCUGCUGUUAAAAUGUAGGCAUCAUUCUGUUUCUGUUCAUCUUUGACAGAAAGCCCUUUGUUAACUUUUUGACAAAAAAAAUGCCUCAAAGAAAGUGUUUGCAUAUUCUGAAUUUGAGCUGACAGGAAAUCAUGGAAAUACUCUCAUAUCUCUCUGUAAAUACAUAACGAAAUCAAAUUUUAUCCAAGCAAUGAAUUGUUUUUCUUUCCCUGUCCAAUCUAACAAGUCUAGAUUAGGCAUCUCCUCUUCCAUAGAAGAUUCCGUAUAGCAAAACUUCUCUUUUUAUACCAAAAUAUCCAUCCUUCCAAUCCUUCAAAUUCAACCUUGAGAUCCCUUCUCGGUUGCGUCACCCGUUGCACCAUCCUCAUUCUCCACGGCUUUUGUAACACCAACUUCGGCAGGUCGAAGUACUCGCUCAUGAAGCAUGUACCCUUUCUAUUGACAUAAACAACAAAAUAACAGUUAGGGGUUUGCAGUUAUCAUAGCUUUGAUGCAAAUUCUAACAUUAGCUCUGCUUCAACAAGACAAACAGAUGCAAGUAUAAUGUUAUAUCAUACAUGUUUAGUUAUUGUGUUUGACUUUGCCCCCGCUAGGGUAACAAGCCCACGCUAUUAAAACUUGUGGAAUGCAAAGAUACCGUUACCCGGUCUUCUUCUGUUUAAGGACUAGAUAACUCUAAUAAAAUAUUAGUACAUGCACAUAUAUGAUCACCUCACUUAUAGAGGUGUGCGAACAGUUUUACUUUUAACUUGAUAUUUCAAAAUAUACAUUACAUUACAUCCGGUCUAAUUCAGUAACCAUUAACUAAAAAAUCAAUACUGUGAUUAAUACUUUCUUUUCUCAACAAGUUCUUUAUAAAUCUGGUAUUGAGCUAUAGAAAGCAUCGCACAUCUCAAUGGCAAACUCUGAGAGAAGCUUUUCAUUUACUGAGUUUUUCUUCUACCUCCGGAAACUUUUCCCAAACAUUUCUGGCCCAUAGCAUCACCCCCCCCCCCCCCCCCCCCCAAUGCAGAUCUCAAGAAACAUCAAGGAUUUAAUUCCCUUUCCUAACUGUUAUUCUUUUUUGGGUUUUGAAGCCAUUUUUUCAUAAUGCUAAUAGAUUAAGAAUGUCAAGUUAUUAUCCUGGCCUAUUUUUCUUAUAUCAUUUGCAAUUUAUUCUUGCUACAGCGAUUGGAUUUAAAAAAGGUCAUACAAUAGGCGAUUUGUUCAUUUGGUACUAAUAUAGUAGAUGAGCACCACUAAGAAUGUUUUUAACUAUUUCUUUAAGAAUUUAUUCUCAUUAAAUGUAAGAUCCAUUCUUGUUCCCUUAAGCUUGAGCAGCACUCCUAGUGUAGAGACCAGAAGCUCAGAACGAAUUUCAGAAAAAUAGAUUAAAUGGCAAUGUCUCGUUAUCUAAUUUCACCCCUCAGAAAACAAGCUGAAAUGAAGGCUAUCUCCCCUUACGAAAGAACCAGGAGUGGUCCAGACACCAUAAGUUCUCAGAACAAUCUCCUAUAAAACAUUAAUUUCAUAGAUGUUUCAUUAUCCUACUAUUCAACAUAUUAUAUUUUCUCUUAUAUAAAAAAUUCUUUAUACAUUUCAGCUAUUCACUAAAGAAACCUCACCUAUUUUUGCACUUCAUGCUUUAGUGCGCUAACCACUUCAAAAAAUACAAGGCUACAUACUUGAUAACACACAAACCACUUAAAUCUAAAACUUUUAAAACAGUAUGCUCAUGCUACGUAGUUAUUUCCCCCCAACAAACCCCAUUAAUCAAAUAGAAGCUACCUGAUCUGAAGAUUAGGUGAUUCAUUCUUUUAUGCAACCAAAUAGAAGCUAGUGCUCCCCAAUUUUAUACUCCCUAUACAACCAAAACAAUGGCUACCCAAGCUUAUAGUCCCCAUUUUAUGCUAUACAAAUCCAUGGUUAAUACAAUUGUGAGCUAAAACACCCUUGUAACAUUUGAGUUCAUAGCUUUUUCUUCUACUCGAAGUCAGGCCAUAAUGAUCACCAAAAAUAAAAACAAACAUUUAUAAUUUACACCAGAUUUUCAAAAUUGUAGAAACAAACGAAGACAUCCAUAUUUGCUAUGAAUAUCUCCUAAGAUUUUGUACCCACAUCUAAAUGUAUAGGAAACAAAGAUAUUCAGACAACUUACAAGUUAUAGAUACAACCAAUUCUCUUGUGCUAGAGCUACAAAUUAACCCUUGCCUGAUGGCUCUUGAGAAAAAUUAAUUGAUCAAAGAAAAAGCUCACAAAAUUACUGUUUAAUUAUUUAUGAGAACGUAAACUUUGUCUACCCUAAAAUUUGCCACACACGAACUUCAUAUGCAAACUAAAGGUGUAUGAAGAAUUUGAAAUACCAUAAUAGUAAAAUGUAGAAAACAAUGAUUAGGGCCACAGGAAAUACCUUCAAUACAGCUGCAACAGUACCAGGUGCCUUAGAACCAUCUGGUACUUGAAAAACUGCAUUGUGCCUAUGUGGAUCAAAUGGCUCAUUUGUAGGAUCAAACAUUUCCACUCCAUACUUCUUUAACACCUGCAAGCAACAAAAUUUAGUUGAACUUCACUGCCACAUAUAUGCCAUGGAGAGUCAAAAUCAGACGGAGAUACCCAUUGACCAAUUAGUUAAGUUGAAUUUAAUAUUUUAAAUUUAUAGUAAUGCAGCAGAUGGCUUCAAUUGGCUAAUUCUUCACAUAGAACUUACAAGUUCGACGGGAUCAAAAUUCUCACCAUUUUACCCAAUCAUACAACUUAGAAAUUGAAAUAUAAAAUACAUGAGAUGCCAACAACCUAAACAAAUUGACAUGGGUUCUUCUUUCAUAAAAUUUGAGGAACUUCACCACUUAAAUCAUCCAAUUAUUAAUGUAAUAAAAACAGAUUCAAGUGAACAGCAAACCUCAAGAACAAUUUGUGCAUGAGAUACUAACCUCAGACAGCUGUUUCUCCGUCAUUUCAACACCGUCAAUAAGUGUUUUCAGUAAGGGUACUGCCCCUGAAGAGUCAUUAGUUGAAUCAAUCUUUGAGAAACUUCCCUUGACUACGGAUGAAGCUCGUCCUAGAUUGUCUGCAACGUCCAGCAAACUCUUUGCAAAGUUCUACAAUACAUAUAAAUGAUUGAUGUCAGGAGAGAGUCUUGUAAGUGAAUAUUAAUGCAUUCCCCCAUGUCAUUGCAACAUGAUAACAAAUGUUAAAGACCAUAGAUAGGCAUUCCCAUGUCAUUGCAAAUGUCCAGCAAACUCUUUGCAAAGUUCUAAAAUACAUACAAAUGAUGGAUGUCAGGAGAGAGUCUUGUAAGUGAAUAUUAAUGCAUUCCCCCAUGUCAUUGCAGCAUGAUAACAAAUGUCAGAGACCAUAGAUGGGCCAAACUUAAAUCAAAACCUGUAUAGCAAACUUCUUCGAAUUCUCAGCUUCACGCUUUGUCCUGGCCAUCACAUUCUCCAUCUCUGCGUAAGUGCGAAUAACCUUAUCUUGCAUUUGUUCAAUCUCUUUGUGCUUUACCUUCAAAAGCUCUUCCUUCUCAGCUACAACUUUCACCAGAUCAUCCAUGGAAAGAUUGUCAUCGCUAUCAGAAUCUGAAACAGAAAUCAGAGUUGUUAGUACUCCAUCAAAUACAUGCAUCAAAUAUCAACAUCCGGAUAUGAAACCUGAUUCUCCGGUUCGACCAUUAGUUUCAGCCGUUGGCUCUGCAUUAGUUUUAGAGCCCCCAUUCCUUGGAACUGUAUUGCCAUUUUCCUUAUUAGAAGUCUCAGGGGAUGCAGAUGUUGAUAAUCCAUGUUUUUGAAGAAAAAAUGAACGAUAUAACGUUGAUUCCUGAAUAGAAAAAGAAUUAUAAACGCUCUCCAAUUUAAGAAAAUAUAUUAAAAAAUACACCAAAGUUGAUCAACAAUAUUAAAUCCAAGACACCCAGAAAAGGAACUAAGAUGGGGGAGGUCCCAAAUGCUUACAACAACAGAAAAGAAUUAAAAGGCAACUAAAAUCAUAUAAACUUUAUAAAAAUGGAAGGAAUUCGAAUAACUAAAUUGCAGUCACGUUAGAAAUUUUGAGAAAGUCCCAAAACCCUAGCUAAACCCUCGUAGCAGAAAACAAAACGGAGUAAGUAGCAGGUGUUUAAAUCGAACCUUGUCUUUUGAUUGGUUAGCAAGAGAGUGCAAUCGAUUAGUGAGAAUUGGGAAGUGAAUGGGUUUGUCGGAUUGAGGGGCCGACGAGAGCAGCGAGCUGCGAAGAAUGGUGCGGGAGGAGCGUGAGAAAAGCUUCGUGACGAACAUGGCUAACAAUGAUAAAGGUGAAGAAAAGGCGGAGAGGAAGAUGGGAUAAAGGUUUGUCCAGGCGAAGGAAGGGAAAGGAACAAAGAGAAAUGUGGUUGAGGAGAAGAAGAAGACGAGGGAGGAAGGAAGGAAGGAAGGAAGAAGAAGAAGAGGGUUUUGCGGUGGCUUUAAGGGGAAUUGACGAAACUACCCCGUUACUUUUGUUUGAGUAAACGACGUCGUUGUAGUUGCUUGAGGAAGAGGUUGUGUUGAUUUACAUAUACGUCACCUAACUCAAAAUAACAUCAAAACUAACACAAAGGAACACGUAUUUGUAAGAAUGAUAGUUGUUUGUUUUCUUUAUGGGAAAAGUUUUCAAUUUAUACUCCCAACUGAUUUAAAUAGAUUGAAUCAUUAGUUUAAUAUUUAUAAAAGUUUUAGAUUUAAAUUAAUAUAAUUAUUAGUAAGAUAUAACUUCCACUAUCAAUUCAUAUCUUUCAAUUAUUAGUACAAACAAUGUUUUUUUAACAAAACAAUUCAUUAAACAAAAUCCUGUUUGUAAGAAAAACAAUAAAUUAACCCUAGAUUGGUUUUUUGGUUUUAAUAUCAAAUUAAUUAAUUUUAACUUUUUUUUGUAUGAAACAAAUUUGAAUUUUUUAUUGAUAAUUUUAUUAUUUUAAAUAUUACUAAAAGAAAAGAAAUAUAUGAGAUGUGAUCAAAUAAUCAAAUUAAAUCAGUUAGAGAAAGUCACCCAAAGUUAAGAGUAACGCAUGUGACUUUUGAUUUUGAAUUGGCUUUAAAAAAGAAAGCUAAUUUAAUAUUAUUAUUUGUGUUUGUGUCUAACAACUAUUUUUUAAAAAAUAAUGCUUUAAAAAGAUAAUUUUCAAAAUGAUAUAUUAUCAUAUUAAUAUACAUGUUUGUGAACAACUAAUUGCAUCUUAUGACUCAAAAUUAUCGUGGAUUUCAAUAUAUUUUUUCUCUUUUUAAAUACUUUAUUUUCAUCUAAUUUUUAAGAAUUUUUUUUUUAUAAUCCCAAGUCACCGUUGAUAGUCUUUUAAAGCUUCUAAUCUUGUCAUUUAGAUAAUUCUUAUUUACGGUUAACUCAAAAUAUUGUAUAUUAAUUUUUUUAGAGUUUUUUUUGUUUAAAGCUUCAACAUAUUGUGAUGGUUGAAUCCUAAUCCGUGGAAAUGAUCGAUUUUGCUCUUGAACCCAAACAAGGAGCAAAUGGUGGUUCUCAACUAUAUUAUGUGGAAAGAGUCAAAUUGAGGAUUUUCAAUCACAAUCCCAAGAGAUCCUUAAAAAUAUGGAUGUAGGUCGAGCUUGACCAAACCAUGGUAAAUUUGAGGUGUCCUCUUCUCUAACUUUGUUCUAAUUAUUUUUUCAUUUAAUUUUAGUUGCAUAUUCUUGUUGGUUGAGAUUGAUUGUAUACUCUAUUACAUUCUUUUUAUUUUAUUUUCUUUUCUUUUUAUCAAAUUUGUUAUUUAGCAUAAAUUAGCUAAUUUUUUAAUUAAUUUAAAAAUUAUUUAAUUAAUUUAAUUUGGAUAUAUUUAUUAAAAAGUUCAACUAAAACCCCUAUUCAUCCCUCUAAAGUUGCCAUACCGAUCCAACAACACACCCCUUAAAUAAUCAUAGACCUAAACGAGUCUUGCACGAUCCAAUGGAUCUACUCAAACUAACCUAAUUCAUUCCAACAAUCCACUUUCAAGUGAAAACCACAAAACUUGACUCUAGUGAUCCUAAUUUUAAGCUUGAAAAAAAAAAUUAAGAAUUGUAGAAUCGUCGUGACAAGGAGUGAAUAGGAAUUCUUCAAAUUGAUCUUCACAAAUACAAUAAAUCUCUCAAAAAUAAAAUGAAAAGUAAAGUUAAAGAGCUUGGCAAGAGUAAAACUAAAAAAUGAAUGAAUUAUAAAGUCAGUUACUUUGAGAUUAAGUGCCAAAACGCCAUCAAAAAUUAAUGAAGUGACGUAAGAUGGAUCUAUCACAAACCAAAAGCCUAUAUUCGUGUUGCUUUGUUGUUCAUAGUUAUUUGCAUAUGUUUAAUUUUGAUGAGGUCAAUUACUAUCAUAUCAAUAUAAUUCAAAAUAGUGUAUAAAUCAUAUCGUGACAUAUCUAUAGUUUCUACUUCUACUCUAAAAUUUAGCAUUACGUGUUUGUACCUCCAUCUCUUAUGGAUGGUUUGUUUACCUAAUGAUUUCAAAAUGUUGCAAAAUUUGAAUACACUUUGUUGCCAUAUCAAACUAAAUUAGGUGCAUUGAUAACUUAUGACAAUCUCAUAUAUUCCGCACAUCCCGCCUUACUUAACUACAUAUAAGAAUGAUCAAACCUUGAAAAAAGAACUCAGGCCAAUUAUCUUUUGAAGAAAGAACUCUUAAUGUUAAGUUAGAAGUGACUUUAGUCUAUUAUAUAACAAAAUUUAUGCUUAAUUUAUUUGUUUAUUAUCAUGUAAAAUUGAAUGAAUAUUUGAAAAAUUAUUAUAAAUGACAAAAUUGAUAAAAAUAUUCAAAUAGCAAAAAUUUCAAAAUUUAAUCAAUAUUUUGGUUCAUUUUUAUUUCAAAAAACAGCAUAUGAUAUUUUCUUUUCAUAAACAAAACGGUAUACCAAAAUAGUCAUUCAAAAAUUGCGAAAGAGGUUAACUUAUAUUUAAUACAAUACUCAAGAUAUCCUUAAGAAAUACUCAAAGGAUUCCUUGAACAUUUCAUUUCGCUUUUUAAAGUAGUAAUAAUAAUAUUAUUAAUAAAUCAUUUCUUACCUCUUAAACUUAAUUGAGCUAGCCAUCAAUUUCCUCUCACGUGGAACAAAAUAUUUAAUACAAUACUUGAGAUACACAAUAUUAUAACAAAACUAUUAAAUAAAUAUUCAACAAUUAUAACUAAAAGAAUUCUCAAUUUACCAAUAAAACAAAAUUCUCUAUGCAUGGAGGUAUACAUGACGAAACUGAAUGUUAAAAGUAUACCUGAAUGGCAAAGCUCCAAUAAAUACAAAAUAAUACAUAUGAAUUGUUUUAAUUAUUAUUAAAUAGAAAAAUAACUUGAAAGAAUGAAUGCUGAUGGACAAAUUAAUGCUUGCUAACUAUGCUUCCAAUAGACUAUACUUAUAAUUAUACAUUAUAAUAAUUAAAACAUUGAUAUUGGGGUUAAAACAUUUAAGUUCAAGAAAACCUUGAAUGAAUGUUAAAGCAGCCGUGUGCGUACCUGAAACUCCGAUCUCAUUUAGUCAUAGGGAUUUCUAAAGUUCUUCAAAAGGUCUGGGACAUCAUAUCCCAACAUGUCAUCCACCGACUGAAUCAUUUUUGGUUUCAACUUUUCAAAUUUGUCGAAGUUGUAACCGCUUAAUGUUUCUCGGAAUUGUUCGACGUUUGGGAAAUCUCCAGCGGGUAAGUGAUAUUCUCUUUGUACCUGUGAGUUACUAAGAGUUUUAAGUAUACCAUACCUUGGGAGUUGUUAUCUGUAGAUACGAAGUUUAGGCUGCUAACAAUAAUUUUAAUGAAAUACCUUUCCGAAUUCAUCAGCCAAAUUAUCGAUUAGUCGCUGUUGGGUCUUGGCUUUGCCGAUCAUGGUAGGCAUCUCUUUCCUAAGAUGGCUUAUAAUGUAGGCAUGAAUUUUAGCAGCUCUUGCUCGCUUAACGAAUUCAUUAAUCUGUCAAAACCAUUGUUAUCAGAAACUUUCUUCUUUCCGAGGAGAAAGGAGGGUGGGGCAUUUUUGAGGAGACCAUUUUCAAAUCCAUAAAAUAUUAUAUUACACAAAUAAAUACCAUUUCAAUCAGAAAAAUAAGGAUAGUUAGACUUGGGAAACUCACUCUUCUAUCACAUGCCUUCUUUGGGAUAUCCUUCAAAUCAGAAAGAAGAUCUUCCUGUUCUUUUUCAAAGAGGUCUUUUCCGAGCGGACCUGUAACGGCUUCAUUAACAGGUUUGUCAUUAAACGAGCUGUCACAAGGAAACACGUGAAUGUAUGAGCAAGACAUCCCCAUCAGCAUAAGAAUCCUAUCAAACUAAUGGUCUGGACAAUGAAAUGUCAACUAGAUGGUAAUAUAUGCAAAAUGAAGCACUAGAAUGUCCUAAAACAAUUUUCAACUACAUGUGAAUUGGCAAGAUGCAUCAUUGUCAACUAUUCCAUUAGAAACCACUCAUCAUAAAUUGCAUAAAUCGAUUUAGCUGAUAAAAAUUUAAAAAUGAAAACAAAAAGUUUACUAGUAUUAUAUCAAAGCAAGAGACCGCACCCAAUAUAAACACGUACAACCUCAGGAGUAUUCAGAACCUUCCCAAGCGACCACAUUAAUGCUCCAUAAACCCUCAUCAACUGAAAUAUCCAAAAGAGAAUAUUAGAUUACCUGAGGCCAUAUAUUUCAUCUUGUAAAAAGUAAACCAGAGUAAAGAUAAAAAUAAUAAUAUGAAUAGUAAUAAGUUACUUGCUGCGUGUCAACUUGGUCUGCCUUGUUCAAGACUACUCGAAUUUUGUCAUCAUGCCCACGUAAUGAAGCUAUAACCCGUUUGAAUUCAUCACUAAUAUCAAGUUUAUGGGGAUCAAAUAAAAGUAAAAUAAGAUCGCACUUGGCAGCAAACCAUGAUGUAACAGAUGUAAACUCAUAUGCUCGCUGUGUUCGUUGUUUUUCUCCAGACAGAACUCCAGGAGUAUCCACAAACGUAAUGUGUUCUAGCAGCUUCACAAAAAAUAACAGAUUAAGGCCAUGAAUAGAGUAUUAAAAUCCAUAUUCAUGGCAACAACAAAUUAUAUUCUUACAGGAUGCGGCAUUUGUGAACACUCAAAUUUUGAUAGAAAAGAAGUUCCAAAUGUUGUCAGACCAUUAAAUGGCAUGUCUGCUUGGACAGCAAUCGUAUUUCCAGGAAUGCUUCUUUCAUCAGGUCCAGACUAAAAGGGAGCAAACAACAAUGAAUUAGGUUUGAAGACCCAAUGGUGAUCUGUUCUUUUGUAAUUUUCGAAUUUAAAAUGAAAAAAAAAAAAAAAACUACAAAAUUGACAUCCAUCUUUGAUACCCAUAAAAUUUUCAAAGAAAUUUAAGACGAAACUUUCACACCACCACCAGAAAGCAUGAACAAAAUACUUCAUGGAGUUUAGUUUUGUUCUCCUUCUCAGAAACAAAGGCUAAAAAAGAUGCAGCAGAAACUAUUAUAAUGUGUAGUAAAUGAUCAAUUUUCACAGAAUAAAAAGCAUGUGGCAAGAAGACAAAACCAGAUAAGAGUGUCUACGAAUUAAAUAGAAAUGAUCAACCAUGCAUAAAAAGUGAGAGAUACAAUUGAAGUAACAAGUAAUACAAUUUGUUCAGAAUCUGCAAAACAAAAAUUGUCAAACGGUUUUAUUUCAUCCACAUGCUGCUUCCACAGGGGGAGAACAUAUUUGAAAAAAGCACUUACCAUAACAACAACAAAUCUGUCAGUUGUAGGUUCUGGUCCAAUGUGGGCUCCUACCAAAAGUGAAUAAAAUGGGAAAGAAAAUUGAAUCAAUAUCAGAUGUUCAUGUUCAAGACACAAAAAUGGUCCCCUGUUGAGAGUAGGGGUGAAUGAUUGGUAUGUGAGCGGGGCGUGGGGGGAAGGAGGGGACCUCAUCCCUCACUCUCUGACUCAUGGAAACCUCCUACUGCUUUGGGAAAGUACUUUGUACUCUCAACAUAACAAGUACAAGAUCUCAUGUCUCACCUGGAUAACUGCUUUUCAGCAGAUGUUUGAUAAAUGUCGUUUUGCCGGUAGAGUAUUGACCCAAAAGCAUAACCAUUGGUUUAGCAUCGAAGUCACUAUUUGCCUGAAUCAUAGGACAACCCAACAUAAAUAUAUACUCACAUUGUAAAAACAAUGGUCCAACAUACCAUCAAAGCUAAAUAAAAAGAAUAUAUUUAAGAGAGAAAUAAUCUCACAUGAUAUAUGUAAUGAAAUAUACAAUUAAAAUGCAAAAACAAUGCCACUCACCAGUAAUGGAGAAACAAAAUCAUUAAAUCGAUAACUAACUUCUAAGGGCUUCAACUUCUGAAUAUAAAGUCUUUUCAAACCAUCAACGAUCGAUGUAACGGAAGAAAGAGGUAUCUGAAACAGAAUUUUGGUUUCAAAGUCAUAAGCCCAGACACCAAGUUGACACUGCUAAAUGUUCAUGAUCACAAACCUUUUUAGAUGACUUCGAUGAAAACCAACUUGCUGAAACAGGUGACUGCCCCUUAGAGCUACCUGCAAAGUCAUCAAUUACCAAGUUAAAAGAGGAAAGCAAAAGCAUGAAUGAGCCUCCGUUCAUAAAUUGCAAAGAUAAAGUUGCUACCAUUUGUCUCAUGGUCAUUUGACUUCUGUUUACGGGCUUUCUUCUGUGUGAUAGACAAAUAAAAAAGUUAGAAAUUCAAACCUAAUUACAAAAGGUGUGCCUUCCUAGUCCCAUGCCCUAUAGUAUUCAAUAUUUAAAUUAGCAAAACAAAUACUUUAACUUCUUGCUUUAGCCUCAUGAGAAGCCCCAUGGCUAGUCCAAAUCCCAACCAGCUCAAAGUUAAAAUUUGAUCGACCCAACUCAUUCCUUCAAUGAACAGGAUUGGAUAUGGAUAAUUCUAAGAGAGUUCAAUUUUUUUGGUUUUAAACAAGCUAGGAAGAGACCUGAACCACACUUUUGAUGGACUCAAUUUUCAGUACAAAAAUCUUUAUUGGCUGCAUAACAGAAAAGCUAUGAAACUGAGCACUGCAAACCAUCAAAGAGUGACAAUUGGAAGAGAAGCCAGAGCCACCAACAAGGUACACCCCUUUUGGAGGAUAUAUUAUAAACAGAAACUAGUCCUACCUACAGGACAAAGACUCCCAAACUAAACUGUUAUUGCCACUCAAAUUUCAUUCCUCAUUAGUGGUGUCAGUGGGACAUAGUGAUUAAGAUUUACCAGAGUAGGCAAAAGAUAUAGGGAAUGAAUAAAAUCACAGGGGACACUUAUUUGUGAGCUUGCAUGUUCUUCACCAACAAACUUGGGUCUGUUUGGAAUGGCCUUUUAAGUGUUUAAAAACAAUUUUUUGCACUUCAAAAUUCUUUUUCAAACAUGUCAUUUCAUACAAGCCCUACGUUUUUAGCUUUCGUUCUACCUAGUUUGUUUCAACCUUCACCCAAUCCAAAUCACACUUGCGAGGGCAUUUCAAUCAACUUUACUUUGUGGGUCAAGGUCGACCUGUGUCAGAAAAGUAUGAUUCAAUUUUGCUUGUGGUUGAUCAUUGGUCAAAGUAUGUCCACUCCAUCUUAAUGCACCAUCCUUCUACAAUCAGUGUAUUGAAAACCAUGCAUUACAUGUGUCUCACUUCAAAGAAGAGGCUCUUGGUGCAAGAAUGUCCUGCACCUCAUUGUCUCAUACCCUUUUUCUUUACAUAAUAACAAAAAAAAAAAAGAGAGAGAAGUAUCCUCCAGAAAUCCCUAAUUUGCCUUUUUUCCCCUUUGGACUUGAUACGGAGAAAGUCCUACAUAUUUUUCCCCUAUAUUCUAAUUUCUUCCAAAAGUGACACUUAAAAUCCCAAUCAACACCCAUGCGACUUGGUAUAUGACUUGGAAGUAACCAUACUUGAGAAAUAUAUUUCUUUUGUGGCUAAGGACCUUGGAACUUACUGUCACUUGUGCUUGCUGCAUAUUUGGUUUGUUUUAGGUAUAAAAGAUGUAUAAAUACAUGCCAUUUAUUCUUGUGAUUAAUCCAUCUUAUUCCUCAACCUAAUCAUUUGGCAGAAGCUUAAGUGUUUUUUUGGUUCCCCUUCUGUCACCCCAGGCUCCCUAGGCAAUCUCCAAAUUCCUUUAAUGAAUUCUGAAUUUUAGUUUUAGAAAUUAAGCACAAGUGUUGUAGUCUACGCUUUAAGUGGACUUUUGGGGCACAUGGCUAGUAAAAAAUGUAAAACCUUUCAACGAAGAUCUCUAGACAAUUCACCAGACAUGGAGUGCCCCACUGCAUCGCUCCUUUCAUAAAGGAAAUGAUGGAGAAUUUUGGAUGCAAAUCUAUACUCUAAUAUAUUGCUAAUUAACUACAACAACAAAAGUUUUCUCUGAAAUCAACUGUAGUUGAGUCAAGUGGUUCUCUUGUAAGAAUAGUAAAGUCACGCUAAGUUGACCUAGACAAUCAAGAUUAUUAACAAAUAAAACUACUAAUUAGAAAAAUUAGUUCUUUUAGCAGUUCAAUUAGACUACAAAAGAAGCAUACUCACAGCUAAUAUGACAUCCAGUCCCUCCAUUCUAGGAGGAUUCAAACUCUUCAAAUCAACUGCAAAAAAUAAGAGCAAUUACAACAAAUCAAAAGUUUACGAUUUAAGGACAAAAACAUAGUAAGUUGAACAGUAUAGUAAAGUUCCCAACAAUUUGAAAUUGGGUUUUGCAAGGUUGGCUUAAUAAUAGGGGGUUGGGUUAUAACGGCCACAAGAUAGUAAUGAUUGAAAAAUAUGCACUCAAACAAGGAAACGGACCUUCGCUAUUUGAAGUCAAUACAUCAUGAGUUACUUCCCCACCCGAUUGCGCCAGAGAGACAAGCUAAGCAUAAUAGAAGAAAAACAUUACUUUAGAAAAGAAGUCGACAUUUUCAAUCGACAUACUCAAGAUUCUUAAACCACAACCUGCAUUGCAGUAACAAACUCCUUGAACCCAAGAUAUCCUUGCCGCUUGGAAUCUGCAAUUGCCCACACCUUUGAACAAAAUGGUAUACAAGAAAUCAUCGUCAUAAUAAAAGAAAAGCGAAGACACAAUCACAACUAUACAUUUUUACCUGCCAAGUUCACGCGAUCAUCAACAUUAAACCAAAAUUUUCAGGUAAUGUUGCCCGAACAAAAGGGUACGUAAGUUGCAUAACACAAGGAAAAAAACUAACCAGAAUUUUCAAAAUACAGUUCAACAUGAAAGCCGAAGAACAAAAAUGCCAAAACCCAAUAAAACGGAGAAAAACACGAAAAGAACCCGAACCUGCUUGAGAUCUUGGCGAGGCAAAGUCGACAUGGAAAAGAACUUAAUAGCAUCAUUCCCCGUAAUACGCCCAUCACCAUCUGAAGUAAAUGAAUUGGGCAUACCAGAAUCAGCGUAAUCAAACGUAAUCGACAUUGACUCGCAAGAAAAACAUACAAUCAUAAAAAUAAAUAAAAAAACAAAUACCAGAAUCAGCGUAAUCAAACCAUUCUUGAUAGAUCUUCUGAUGAUCUCGGGAGCAGGAACCGAUAGGAUAGGAACCGAUUUCCAUAAAAGGUGAUCAGAAAAGAGCGGAUAUAGUGGUUAUAAAGCUCCGGUGAAAUGCUUCUUCCACCGCUUGAUUCCGUAUGUUCCAGUUCCAGGCGAAUUCCGAGAUCAGGAAAAAGAAGAAACAAUCAAUGGAAUGAAAAACACAGAAGAACUGAUUCCGGAGUUCUCUCCCUUUCAGUUCGUCCCUCUUUUGAGGAGAGAGAAGGGAGAAGGAACUGGAAACGGAAGCGAAGAGAGCGAGAGAGAGAGAGCAAGGGGGGGAAAUGGGAAUUGGAGGUUUUUAUUUUCUCUUUUGGUUUCUUCUAUUCCCCUUUGUUCGUUAACGUUUCAUGCCGACGAUGCUGUAAUGAAAGUUAAAAAAACGCCGUCGUAUUAAAUAAAUUCCGGUGGGAACCACGUGGCAGCCAUUUGGUAAAUCCUCCAAUUUGUCCAUCAACCCUUUUUUUUUUAUUAUUAUUAAUUUCAGAACUUCUUGCAUUUUAUCACACCUCUAACGUACUUAUAGUUAAACCUAAUUCUAAAAAUCGAGAAUCUUAUCCAGGCAGAAAUAAUGCACUAACAAUAGAAUUCGAAUAAAGAUUAUCUAUAACUAUAAUAUCGGCAUGAGUCAGAAUGUCCAUGAUAGUUUACUCAACAAGUCUAUUAUUUUGAGGAUUUGUCUAAUUCCGGAGUUGGAAACACAAUUAUACAAAGAUGAAAUUCACUUAUUCUUUGUUUUUUGAGAAAAGUGUAUAAAUUACUCUCUUAAUAGUUGAUCCUAGAUCUUGAACAAUGAAACAUGUCAACCUUUCACUAGCUCAAGAUGUUGGUUCAUAGUUGAACUAUCUAUAAACUCUUUGAUCAGUAGAUAAAUUUAUGAUGCUUAAUGAGUUGAAUAUAGCUACAAUGUUAGUUUCACCCAGAACUUUCCUGUUGUAUCAAUUUACAUUUUUCACACAUUUAAUUGUAAAAAAGAAUAUACAAAUUAAACAUUUAAUUUUUUAAAAUUAAGCUUACAAAGUGUUAUAAGUAAAUUGAUUUAGUUUUUUUUUAAGAUUGUUUUUAGAAUAGUUAAUACAUAAAUUCUUAUAAGGGUAGAAGUCAACAAAUUUUGAUUUGAUAAGACGAUUAUAUUUUGAAUGGAUAAUUUUUCAAAUAAAUCUCUAAAUUGGUUUCCUUGUGUAGUUUAGAAAUUUAAUUGAUAAAAUUAUAAAUCUAACAUGAUGUUUAUUUAAAUGAAACAUAAUGGAGCAUUUACAUUGAUACACUUAUGAAAGUCCAAGUUUUUAAUUGAUACAAUUAUUUGUUUAAAGUUUAAAUUGGUACAAUCUUCAAAGUCAAAUGUUAUGCUAGUUCAUCAUGUUGGCAACGAUUUUAGUUUACGUAUAUUAAACUUUUAAAAUAAACUUCCGUUACCACUGUUCAAUGAGAGACUAGGAAGCACGAACACGUUAAAACGACAAAGUAUUAGUGUCAGACACGUGUUAGACAUCAAUACGUCUCGACGUGUCCCUGACAUGUGUUAGACGAGCAAAAGUAUAUAUCGUCCUUUAUUUAUUAUCUUUUUAAUUUUGGACACAUGAAAACGCACAAUGACACGACACCAAACACACAUUGGUGGCACAUAAGAAACCCAAAACCUUUCAAACCAAAAUGCUACAGAAAGAGGGUGAUCUCGCAUGUUUGAGAUUGGCGCACAAAGGGAGACCAUCGGUUAGUGCAUGACUAUAUCUGACUGUUCGUAGAAGUUCAUCAGUGACUUAGUCUAUAACUAAUAGAUUUUGGAAAUUUAUCAUAAAUAACAUUUUUAAGUUUUUGUAUUACUAAAAUUACAUCCUUCAUUUCAUGUGAAAUCAACCAUUAAAAUUUAGUUUUAAAUUUUAGUUUGUCUAAUUUAUUGAUAGUUUUUAGAGUUUUUUUUUUUUAAUAUUUCCAAAUCUCAUACCAAAUCUUAUAUAUAUUUUUUUAAUUUUCUUCAAAUUUGGUUAUUGUUAUUAAAUACUAUAACAAAUUAUUACUUUUAAAAAUACAUAUAUUUAUGCCCUAAAUUUCAUCCAGAAAAGUCGUAUAGAAUGUCAAUGUUAUUUUUUAUGUGAUUAACACCGACAUCCACAUCAACUAUACAUUUUUCAAACCCUAAACCCUAAAUCCAAACUAUAAAAUCUCUUACCUUGAAGCUUUGGCUAAAUAUUUUGUUGAUUCCAAUUACUUACCCACUUCAAAGCUUGAAAAUUAAACCAAGAAAAACCAAAUAUUUUUUUCAAAACUCACCACUGAAAAGCGGCAGUGGAUAGAAUCGGCGACCACCGACGGAGCUGGAGCAGCGCGGUCGUCCUGGGUGGAGGUUGGUCGAGGUUGGGUUGCUACUCCUUGGCCGCUCCUGGGUCGAACGGAAGGCAGUGGACGUGAAAGAAUUUUAGUUAUUGGAUCUUGAGUCUUACUAACACUGAGAUGGUCCAAGAUGAAAGAAUUUUACCUUUAUUUUAUUCGACAUCGGGCAUACAUUGUCUCAAUAUGUCCUGGGAUGAAAGAUUUUUGUCUUUAUUUAUUUGAUCCCGAGCCUUAAUUUCACCGAGAUGCCCCCAAGAUUAAUAAAUUGCAAAGAAGAUAUAAAUCACAAGGGCAUAUAUGAAAUUUGUGAAAAAAAUGACCGCACGUCAAGAACUUUUUUUAAUUGAAUUAAUCCACCAAAUCAAUUUGAACUUACAAUUCAAUUAAAAUUACCAUCCAAAAUAAUUCAAUCUCAAACAAAGGAAGAUACUUCAAUUAGAAAUUAUCUUAAAUUUUGAGUAUUACAAAUUAUUCUAAAUUUAGCUAAUAGUCCAAUUAAUAAAUUGAACAUGGCCAAGUAAUUUAAGUUCCUUGACCAAAAAUCCAACCCAAAGUCUUUGAGAUCAAGUCUAAUUUGUGUUUCAUAGUAAGUAAUCGAGUCCGAGAUCAUCUAAAGUUCUCGAGAAACUUUAUCAAUAGAGAAUUUAUUGGGAGGAGAAGAAUAAAGAACAAGAGCUCUUAAAACUCUUACGACUUGAAGAUUGAAACUAUGAGUAUCUAGAAAACAUAACUCUUUCGAAGCUAAAGCUUCAAGGAGACAACAGAAGGAAAACUUCUUUUAAUGAUCGAUAGAAAACAGAAAAUGACCAUAUAAUAGAGAUUGCACUCGUUAUACUAUAUUGAAAUCUAUACGAAUCCAAAAUUUAUUUUAUGAAUCAUCAAAAAUCACAUUCAACAACUACAUCCAAAAGAAAAAAAAAAAAAAAGCUUGUGCGUAAGUAGAGAAAGAGAGUUGUUGAUACUAAAAACUUUCUGUUGGAAUCCAAUGUCCAAAGCCUAGAAAUGUAAAAGAGGCAAAAAUGAUGAAGUUAAGUACACCAUUGUGUUUUGAGCUUUUGGAACUUCUAAUGACCAAUUUUCAAGUCGUGUAGAGUAUAAGAAAGCUUGGAUUCAAAGAGAAGUGAGUGAUGAUCAAGAUUAAAGCAGUGCUAAUUGUUAUUUGUUAAGCUACAAGUUCCAACUAUUAGGUUAGUUGUAAAAUUAAUGCAAAUUUCAAUGGACACCAAAUAAUAAAAUUGUAACAUCCCAAAUUGGACAAAGUUAAACUAGUGAUUUAUUGAAAAUAUGUGGAUUGAAAUGGGAUGUUUAAGAGUAAUAAUAUAAAAAUUGGACAAAAUUAAAAUAUUUAGACCAAAAUGAUAUCUUAAUCUAAAAAUAAAAAUAUCAAAGAAAAGAUUUUGUUUUCCUAAGUUUGAUGCAGUUUUUACAGCUUUAAGUUUCAAAAUAUGGUUGUUUUAGUUCUUAACUUUCGAGUUUUGAUUUUAUUUUAAUAUUUAAGGGAUGAUUUAGUACUCUUAAACGGUUUAGGUUGGGUUGGGUUGUCGGAUUGUCAUCCCUAAGUAUCAACCAACCUUUUCUUGUACUCCAUUUUAUUCAAUUAUAUAUAUAUAUAUAUAUAUAUAUAUAUAUAUAUAUAUAUAUAUAUCAUUAAUUGAUUAGGUUGGGUUGAGUUGAAUUAGAUUUUUCAACCCCAACUAGAGACCCAACCCAACUGUUGGGUAGUUCGGGUUCUUCGGUUAUUCUCACACAUUAUAUAUAUAUUCAUUUGGAAAAUAGUUUUUUAAUUGGGGUCUGUUAAAAAAUAUAACAAAGCGGCAAAAUAUUUACCAAUUUCGAAAACGAAAAAAAUGGCCACAGACCCACAAUGAGAAAUUUCAAAAAUGCAAUUCAAUCAAACCCAACCUGAAUUAAUAUAUAAAUUGAACAUGAUCUUUUAGAUUUGGCUGAUUUGGAACACAAUUGUUUAUAGUUGGAACACACUCUUUUAGAUUUGAUUAUCUAGAUUUGAUCAUUUUGGUACAAUCGAUUAGAUUUGGUUAUCCUAUAUCCAACUAUUUUUUUCACUAUAUUUUAUAUUUGGACCAACUAAAUAACUAUGUAAAAAAAAUUAAAAAAAUACAUCUUUUAUAUUUACCCCACGAUCUUGAACCAAAUAAGAAUUUAGAAAAAUAAAAGAAAAACUGCAGAAGAAAAGAAAAAGGCGAUUGGAAAGAAAAAAAGAGAAAAAGCGAUGAAAAGAAAAAUAUCGAACAAAAGAAAGAAAAAAAAGACAAUCGAAAGAAAGAACAAAUCUAAAAUAUUUAAAAAUGGUCAGUUUUAUAGAAAUUUUUAUCUUAUUACAUAGACCAAAAUUUUACCCAUUUAUAUUUAUGAAAAUUAACCUUUUUAAUUAGUAAUGAUUUAAUAAGAUUAAUAUCAAUAUUUAUUUUAGUAAAUAAAUAACUAUCAGUAAAACAUUUCUCCAAUAUAUUUUUACAAUAAAAAUUAUUUAAAAUGUAAAUACUGUUUUACAUAAAUUAUUAAUUAGUUACUAAUAAUAUAAGAUAAAAUAGAAAAGAAAAAUCGGAAAAAAUCAUUAAAAAUUUCAUUACACCUAUAAAUAUUUUAUCAAUUUUAUUUUUUACUUUUAUUUUUAUAGUUUUCCAAUCUUUUAAAAUAAAGAGAAAGUUAGGUAAAUACAAGAAAUUUUAAUUAUCUAUUUUGGAUUUGGAUUAAAAUUUUACUAACAAGUUUAUCGCUCCCUCCCAUUUUUAAAAAUUUUCUUAAAAUAUAUAUAACGAGUAAACUAAGAUCCACUCCAGAGAAAGAAAAUCAAUUUUCAAUAAUAAUAAUGGUUUACCUUAUUUUUUUCUAAUAAUAAUGAAUCUUUGAAAUUAAUUUUAAUUAUAUUUUCAUUAGGAACAUAAACAUUAUUGAUUACUUAUAAUUGUUUGUUUGUUUAUAUUAUUUCAUUCAUUAUUACUUAACCUAUUAUAUUUAUAAAAAUUUUGUUAGUAAAUCUCAAACCAAAUUACGGUUAAGUUUCAAAAUAUUAUAAUUUUUUACUCGAACUAAAUUUACUGUUUAAGUUUCAAAAUAUUAUCAUUUUUCAUUCUUGAAUUCUAGUUUUGUUUUAAUUUAGUUUUUAUAUUUCAAAAUUUAUUAAUUUAACUUAAAUUUUGUACCACAUAUUUGCUUGUAGUGUUUAAUGUUUAUUAAAUAAUUUAAUGUUCAUGCUAUAUGGUGAAUUUGUAAUUUUAGAAUAGAAGACGUAGGAAAUAAAGAAAAAUGAGUCUGUUGUCUAACUGAAAUUUGGAUAAUAAAUUAAGAUUAUAAUUAGAUAAAUCUAUUUAUGUUCCGUGGUACCUUUUUGUUUAAAAAAUUUGGCAUUAAAAUUCACAGGCAACAAGUAUUUGGUAUAAUUUUUAAAUUGAACUUUAUGCUGAAUGAAUAGAGAAGAACGUUAAAGAAAUUAUAAAUAUUUGAUACAAAACUCAAAUGGUGACAUUUUAGAAAUGAAAUUAGUCGAACAUCUUGGAAUAUUUGUUUAGCAUUAAAACAUGGAGAGGAUUUUUGAAUGAUAAAAUGAAGAAAAGAAAAUAGAAAGAAAAAAAGGGUGAGUGGAUGGUAAUAUAGUGAGAGUGGGGGAAUGGAAGAGCCGCACCAACACCACACGGUUCCCAAACGCAAAUUUCCAAGUGGCCCCCCUUUUCAAAUUGGGCCGUUCCUAAUUCUUAUUCCCAAUUACCAACAACCUACCCCCAUUUCCAAACACUCACCUCCUUAAUUCGGUUGCCUAACACUAAAUUAAAUUACCUAUCUCUUUGGUUUUGGUGCCAUUAAUUUAUUUUUCCAUGUGAAAUACAUAACAAAUAAUAAAUAAAUAAAAAUUUGUUUUGAAUCAGAUUCCAUCCAACACCCCCACCAAAUAUGAACACCCCAUAACACAUGAUUUUUUAUUUUUUAUUUUUAAUCAAAAUAUUUUGUAAUAUCUAAAUAGUAUGAAAUGAUAUUACUAAUUGAUUACAAAUUUAAACAUAGAAGUAAGAAAAAAAGAAAAGAAAAGGAAGAAUAAUAUAUAGUUGUGAGGAUAAAUGAUUGCUUUUGAUUUUUGAUAAUCUUGUCGGGUAAUUUCUCUUUUCUCUAUGCCUGCCGUGCCAGCACAUAAAAAAAUAUAAUAACAAAAUUAAAAUUAAAAAAGAAGGUGGAGAUUAAUAUUAAUAAUAACAACAACAACAAUAAAAUAUUGAAUUAUUGCAUCAUCAUCAUCAUCAGCAUCAUCGCCGCCGGUGGUCAAAGGCACAACGCGGUACAUCGAAGAUCAUCGCUGCUAAAAUCAAAAAGAUCGGAAGGUGGAAUGUUGAGAUCGAAAGGCAGAGGGGUUUUUUUCCGAGGAACGACAGGGGAGGAAGCGAUGUCGUCGCCGUCGUCGAUAACGGAGGAAGAAGAAUCGCAAUCGCUAUGGCAAUCCUCGGGGAGAAGUGGGGGAGUACGAGGGUAACGACGAGAGGGAGAAGUGCUAGUAAGGGCAGGAAGG